GAUGAACGCUGGCGGCGUGCCUAAUACAUGCAAGUCGAACGAGGGGCUUUUGUAGCAAUACGGGAGCUUCCUAGUGGCGAACGGGUGAGUAACGCGUUGGUGACCUGCCCCGAAGUGUGGGAUAACAGUCCGAAAGGAUUGCUAAUACCUCAUGUGGUCACGAGGGUUAGAGGCCUUGUGACGAAAGCAGUAAUGCGCUUUGGGAGGGACCUGCGUCCCAUCAGCUAGUUGGUAGGGUAACGGCCUACCAAGGCUAUGACGGGUAGGGGACCUGAGAGGGUGGCCCCCCACAAUGGAACUGAAACACGGUCCAUACACCUACGGGUGGCUG
Molecule: ribosomal RNA, 331 nt
Filed under: uncultured Chloroflexota bacterium
Lineage: Bacteria; Bacillati; Chloroflexota
Description: bacterial SSU rRNA
Rfam family: Bacterial small subunit ribosomal RNA
Source: RNAcentral